UCCAGUCCAUGGCAGUUUUAUUGGGGGUUCUCCCUUCCCAUAUUUUAGCUGGAGUUGGGAAUGGGGAAGAGAAGAAGGGUGGGACAAGAGAGUGAGACUAGAAUAUAAAUAUCCGUAAACAGCAUCUGAGCAUUAGUCUUUAACAGGGAGGAGGAACCACUGGUGUAUAUUAAUUUAGGACACAGGAUCAUUAUAGGGGUAGGGCCAGCUGGUGUUAAUGGCAUGCAGGCAUAUGUGAUGCCAACCAUGAGGGCUGGAAGAACCAGAAGCCAAAGAAGAAUAUGACCGCAUCUAUUCUAAAGCUACUGUGGUGGUUUCUCAUGCUUCAGAGUCUCGUAAGUCUCCUGGUUCCUGGUGCUCAGGCCCGUGUAAACACCAUCUGAUUUCUCAUAGCUGGUUAUAGCUGCCUUUCGCACUUGGAUCUUCAGUCGACAGUAGAGGAGGGUGAGGACAAUUCCAUACAGAAACAGGAUGGCAUCCAGGAUAUAGCAGAGCUGAGGCUCUCCCAGGGCCGCUGCUUGUUCAACCAAAAGGAGUAAGAGCAAGACCACUGCUGGAAUCAUCUUGGGCUGGAGAUCGGCCGUUCUGACAGCACUGUGCAGCUGUGCUCAGCGAGCAGUUC
This 622-nucleotide long non-coding RNA is filed under the name Homo sapiens (human). Its description in RNAcentral is "LNC_000368". Lineage: Eukaryota; Metazoa; Chordata; Mammalia; Primates; Hominidae. The record is from RNAcentral.